UGAAAUAGAGGCGCGGAGCGCAUCAGUAACCCCCUUUCGGCACGGAAAUACCGCGGGCAAAAGGGCGCGCCGCCGAAGUGUUCGCCGGGUUUCCGACCGACGGAUGCUGGGAUAACGCAAAAUAUGCGUUAUACUGUCGCGAGCUUUCGCGGAGUGCUAUUC
This 162-nucleotide non-coding RNA is filed under the name uncultured Ruminococcus sp. Its description in RNAcentral is "Lysine riboswitch". It matches the Rfam family "Lysine riboswitch aptamer". From Rfam's summary of the family: Riboswitches are metabolite binding domains within certain messenger RNAs that serve as precision sensors for their corresponding targets. Allosteric rearrangement of mRNA structure is mediated by ligand binding, and this results in modulation of gene expression. Lineage: Bacteria; Bacillati; Bacillota; Clostridia; Eubacteriales; Oscillospiraceae. The record is from RNAcentral.